GACCUUAUAGUUUAAUUAAAAUACUAAAUUGCAAGUUUAGAGAUAGGGAGGGCUUGGGGUUU
RNAcentral lists this transfer RNA (62 nucleotides) under Mercenaria mercenaria. Its description in RNAcentral is "tRNA-Cys". Lineage: Eukaryota; Metazoa; Mollusca; Bivalvia; Venerida; Veneridae. The record is from RNAcentral.